GGAACCUCCGAUCCCUCAAUGCACUAUUUAAAGCAUAAUCCUUGAAGCCAUUUAUCAAGCAGCGAGCUUCUAGAGUUCCUAUGCACCCUCGCAAACGAGGUUCACCACCAUUGACCACUUUUUUCCAGGUAACGAACAAGGGGUGUUGACCGCCAUCGAAAGCGGGGGGAGGGGCUUCCUCGCCGUUGUAGUGAGCGAGAAGGGUAUCGAAACAAAAAAC
This 220-nucleotide unclassified non-coding RNA is filed under the name Hevea brasiliensis (rubber tree). The record is from RNAcentral. Lineage: Eukaryota; Viridiplantae; Streptophyta; Magnoliopsida; Malpighiales; Euphorbiaceae.